Long non-coding RNA from Frankliniella occidentalis (western flower thrips), 719 nucleotides. RefSeq lists it as uncharacterized. NCBI's taxonomy places the organism in Eukaryota, Metazoa, Arthropoda, Insecta, Thysanoptera, Thripidae. The record is from RefSeq and is a predicted model, not a curated record. The transcript is spliced from 3 exons.
CCGGAAGCCAGCGCGGAGGCAGGUCGGACCGCUAGUGCGAGUGCGAGCGGUGGCGCGGGCGCGAACAAGGAGCGAGACGAUGACGACGCAGCGCGUGACAAGCUGCUCUGCGGCCCUCGGCCCUCGGUCGGGGCCUGCCUGUGACUGUGGUACCCUCAUGCUGUUUCGCUGGAAAAAAGAUUAGCUCCAGUAACAGCUCCCAUCAGCUUGUAACAGAGUACUCAAGAUGUAAGCUGUGGUGGUCUUAGAAGAACAAAACCCGGAAGGUGAAAAAGCACGCUAGUUUACCCUGCUCAAAUGGCCCACCCCAUUUAGAGUGCACCGGUAAAACGAAGUUUGUGGUCUGGACAUCACCGUUUCUCCCACCGCUGCUUAGUUGAUUGAGCGUCUCAAGAAUGCAUGCACGGAGUCUCCUCAUUUGUCUCUGCGUUAAAUGCAAAAGGAAAGGGCCAUCACAAACAAGUUGCAUCACCAAACGUUUCCUGGUUUGAUUGCGUCAGUUUUUUCAAUGUUUUCAUACAGGGUACAGGAAAAUUUUCCAUGGAAGAUGUCGUACAAUCACAAUUAAAGAUAGUAAAUUUAUAAGCACUGUUUAUCAAAUGAUGAGCAUAUACCGUACACCUACAAACAUGAUUUUUACAGUGAGUUGGAUUGAUUGACAAGACAAUAGUGUUGACUCGAGUACACCCCUAAGAUGUCCUCGACGCGGCUCUUUCUUA